Molecule: small nucleolar RNA, 314 nt
Filed under: Gambusia affinis (western mosquitofish)
Lineage: Eukaryota; Metazoa; Chordata; Actinopteri; Cyprinodontiformes; Poeciliidae
Source: RNAcentral
GCCCAGUGAUGAGACCAAGGCGAAUAUGAGCUCAUUGAGCGAGAGUUGGGUUCUUGUUGCCUUGAAUGGCAGGUAAUCUUGGCAGAGCAGAGGAGGAUUUCUGCUCUGCUGUAAGGGCCUGCCGACAGAGACUUAGCUCAGCCAGAAUUAUUCCACUACAGUUACUGUGGAGUAAUUGCUUUGGCUGAUGCUGACAGUUUGUUUGUGUGUGUUGUAUGUGUGUGUGUGUGUGUGUGUGCAGAAGGCAAAAAGUUCACCCAGCUCUCUUUGCUGUUCGUUGAGCUGUGACUGUUGUCUUUGGUAAUCUGAGGGCA